GGGGGGGGGCUGCACUAGCACUGCAGCAAAUUCACAGGCACAGUCAGGUAGACAAGCAGCACAGUGACGCAGUAUCCCAGAUGAGCCACGCUGAGCCGACGCCGAGAUGAGGGGUCUUGUCUGGUCACGGCUGAAGGAAGGGCUUUAUAUGUCGAUUGGCAUAUUCCUUUUCCUCUUGGGCCUGUGUGCAGUCCCAGGCAUGACUAAUGUUUCACUCUCAAAUCGAUAAGGCAACUGCAGAACCAAGACUCCCUUCUUCUAGGUUGCCCCGUUCCUUCACUGAUUCCUUGUUCCAUUAAAUGGAGUUGAUGUCUCCAAGAGGACUCCAUAUUGGAUCUGUGUUCGGGGACGAAGAGUGACAUGGGGAGCAAUUACCUGGGGAGGGCUUUGAAGAACCUGCUCUGUCAGCUAAAAGCCCAAUAAAUCAGAGUCAGAGUCAGACGACAGGAACAACAGAACUGACAGAAGAGAGGGAGAUGAUGGUUUGAUAGGAGCACAUUUGUAGCAAUGUAGCACUCGUUUAUAAGGAAUGCAGUCUUGCAGAACCCUGCAUGGGUGCAGGUUUCAUACUUUUGCACCAAUUAAUUUUAAUCGGUCAAGGAUGAUUUGACACCCACUAACCCCACUGUUUAAGCUUGCCUUGGUGCCCACUAACCCAACUGUUAUAGGAUGCUUUGAUAGCCACUAACUCUACUGUUUAAGUUGACUUUGAUAACCACUAACCCUACUGUUAUAGGAUGCUUUGAUAGCCACUAACUCUACUGUUUAAGUUGACUUUGAUAACCACUAACCCUACUGUUAUAGGAUGCUUUGAUACCGACUAACUCCAAUGUUUUAGUUUGGUUUAACAGCCACUAACCUUACAUUUAUAUGCUCUGAUACCCAAUAACCUUGCUCUUUAAGGUUAUUGGCUACGCCCAGGGUAUUGCCAUACCUGGGUUAAGCUGUAACGCUGAAGUCCACAGAAAAACAGUGGCAGCACCAACACUGAAGGCUGAUUUUGAUAGCCUAAUACCUCAGACGGACGGACCCAGACCAGCCUUCUAGGAAGGCUGCAGGGAUCACUGGCUGGGACGUGGGCAUAGAUGCUAAGUGAAUGGAAAACUACUGGAGAACCAACCUCACCUCCCUAACACAUUCUCAUUCUUCCUACCUCGUGAUAUGUGCCGCUAUAACAUUCAACCAAAAUAAUUCUGAGGCCUAAUGCUUCUUAUGAUAUUGUUUGAAUCUUGCUGUGGGCCUCAUUUGUGCUGUGCCUUUUUCAUCUCAAUCACACAUUAAGAGAGCUGACAGAAUGACAAAUGGUUUCUAUGCACACUGUUGGUGGUCAUGGAUGCAAUACCAUAUUUACAACGCCAAUGGCAGGGAUCUCAUUGUUUGCUUUAGCCACACUUACAAAGAGAAGGCCGGAUGUUAAAUGCUGUAAUUUGCAGUGGUAUUGCUGGUAACUUCUCUUUUAUCUUUUGCCACAAUGCAAAUUAAAGGAUUGCAGCCUUU
Gadus morhua (Atlantic cod) is the source of this 1497-nucleotide long non-coding RNA. RefSeq lists it as uncharacterized. The transcript is spliced from 2 exons. The record is from RefSeq and is a predicted model, not a curated record. NCBI's taxonomy places the organism in Eukaryota, Metazoa, Chordata, Actinopteri, Gadiformes, Gadidae.